GUAGGUGGCAAGCGUUGUCCGGAAUUAUUGGGCGUAAAGCGCGCGCAGGCGGGUUCUUUAAGUCUGAUGUGAAAAGCCCACGGGCUCAACCGUGGAGGGUCAUUGGAAACUGGAGAACUUGAGUACAGAAGAGGAAAGCGGAAUUCCACGUGUAGCGGUGAAAUGCGUAGAGAUGUGGAGGAACACCAGUGGCGAAGGCGGCUUUCUGGUCUGUAACUGACGCUGAGGCGCGAAAGCGUGGGGAGCAAACAGGAUUAGAUACCCUGGUAGUCCACGCCGUAAACGAUGAGUGCUAAGUGUUAGGGGGUUUCCGCCCCUUAGUGCUGCAGCUAACGCAUUAAGCACUCCGCCUGGGGAGUACGACCGCAAAGGUUG
RNAcentral lists this ribosomal RNA (375 nucleotides) under uncultured organism. RNAcentral describes it as "partial 16S ribosomal RNA". It matches the Rfam family "Bacterial small subunit ribosomal RNA", at positions 527 to 896 of the family's 1533-position model. The record is from RNAcentral.